RNAcentral lists this ribosomal RNA (253 nucleotides) under uncultured bacterium. RNAcentral's name for it is "partial 16S ribosomal RNA". It matches the Rfam family "Bacterial small subunit ribosomal RNA", at positions 524 to 776 of the family's 1533-position model. The record is from RNAcentral.
UACGAAGGUGUCAAACGUUGUCCGGAAUUAUUGGGCGUAAAGGGCGCGUAGGCGGUUGGAUAAGUCAGAUGUGAAAGCUCAGGGCUCAACCCUGAGAUUGCAUCUGAUACUGUCUGACUUGAGUUCGGUAGAGGAGGGCGGAAUUCCUGGUGUAGCGGUGAAAUGCGUAGAUAUCAGGAGGAACACCUGUGGCGAAGGCGGCUCUCUGGUCCGAUACUGACGCUGAGGCGCGAAAGCUAGGGUAGCAAACAGG